Molecule: ribosomal RNA, 450 nt
Filed under: uncultured prokaryote
Description: bacterial SSU rRNA
Rfam family: Bacterial small subunit ribosomal RNA
Source: RNAcentral
UCGGGAAUUUUGGGCAAUGGGCGAAAGCCUGACCCAGCAACGCCGCGUGAGGGAUGAAGGCCUUCGGGUCGUAAACCUCUGUCGGGAGGGAAGAACGGUCAGCGGGUGAACAAUCCGGUGGCCUGACGGUACCUCCAAAGGAAGCACCGGCUAACUCCGUGCCAGCAGCCGCGGUAAUACGGAGGGUGCAAGCGUUGUUCGGAAUCAUUGGGCGUAAAGCGCGUGUAGGCGGCUUGGCAAGUCGGGUGUGAAAGCCCGGGGUCCAACCCCGGAACUGCACUCGAAACUGCUUCGCUAGAGUCCCGGAGAGGAAGGCGGAAUUCCCGGUGUAGAGGUGAAAUUCGUAGAUAUCGGGAGGAACACCAGCGGCGAAGGCGGCCUUCUGGUCGGUGACUGACGCUGAGACGCGAACGCGUGGUGAGCCAACAGGAUUAGAUACCCCCGUAGUCC